AACGAACGCUGGCGGCGUGCCUAACACAUGCAAGUCGUGCGAGAAAGUUCCUUCGGGAGCGAGUAAAGCGGCGCACGGGUGAGUAACACGUAGGUAACCUGCCCCCCAGUCUGGAACAACUAGAGGAAACUCUAGCUAAUGCCGGAUGAGACCACGAUCCCUUCGGGGGUUGCGGCCAAAGACGGCCUCUACUUGUAAGCUAUCGCUGAGGGAUGGGCCUGCGGGCCAUUAGCUUUGUUGGUGAGGUAACGGCUCACCAAGGCUGUGAUGGCUAGCUGGUCUGAGAGGAUGACCAGCCACACUGGGACUGAGACACGGCCCAGACUCCUACGGGAGGCAGCAGUGGGGAAUAUUGCGCAAUGGGCGAAGCCUGACGCAGCGACGCCGCGUGGGUGAUGAAGGCCUCGGUCGGUAACGACCGUCGUCGUCGACGGGGAAGGAAGUAAGACGAU
RNAcentral lists this ribosomal RNA (452 nucleotides) under uncultured bacterium. RNAcentral's name for it is "bacterial SSU rRNA". It matches the Rfam family "Bacterial small subunit ribosomal RNA", at positions 29 to 483 of the family's 1533-position model. The record is from RNAcentral.